Echinops telfairi (small Madagascar hedgehog) is the source of this 160-nucleotide small nuclear RNA. Its record names the gene U1. It matches the Rfam family "U1 spliceosomal RNA". Rfam says of the family: U1 is a small nuclear RNA (snRNA) component of the spliceosome (involved in pre-mRNA splicing). Its 5' end forms complementary base pairs with the 5' splice junction, thus defining the 5' donor site of an intron. There are significant differences in sequence and secondary structure between metazoan and yeast U1 snRNAs, the latter being much longer (568 nucleotides as compared to 164 nucleotides in human). Lineage: Eukaryota; Metazoa; Chordata; Mammalia; Afrosoricida; Tenrecidae. The record is from Ensembl.
AAAUUGUACAAAGUGAAAAUAUCAUGAUCACAAAGGUGGUUUUUCCCAGGGUGAGGCUCAUCCAUUGCACUUGGAAUGUGCUGACCCCUGCGGUUUCCCCAAAUGUGGGAAACUCGACUCCAUAAUUUAUGGUAGUGGGACUGCACUCUCACUUUCCCCU